This 207-nucleotide ribosomal RNA is filed under the name uncultured Streptomonospora sp. Its description in RNAcentral is "partial 16S ribosomal RNA". It matches the Rfam family "Bacterial small subunit ribosomal RNA", at positions 388 to 593 of the family's 1533-position model. Lineage: Bacteria; Bacillati; Actinomycetota; Actinomycetes; Streptosporangiales; Nocardiopsidaceae. The record is from RNAcentral.
GCAGCGACGCCGCGUGGGGGAUGACGGCCUUCGGGUUGUAAACCUCUUUUACCACCGACGCAGGCCCGGGUUUCUGCCCGGGUUGACGGUAGGUGGGGAAUAAGGACCGGCCAACUACGUGCCAGCAGCCGCGGUAAUACGUAGGGUCCGAGCGUUGUCCGGAAUUAUUGGGCGUAAAGAGCUCGUAGGUGGUGUGUCGCGUCUGCU